UCCGUAGGUGAACCUGCGGAGGGAUCAUUACACAAAUAUGAAGGCGGGCUGGAACCUCUCGGGGUUACAGCCUUGCUGAAUUAUUCACCCUUGUCUUUUGCGUACUUCUUGUUUCCUUGGUGGGUUCGCCCACCACUAGGACAAACAUAAACCUUUUGUAAUUGCAAUCAGCGUCAGUAACAAAUUAAUAAUUACAACUUUCAACAACGGAUCUCUUGGUUCUGGCAUCGAUGAAGAACGCAGCGAAAUGCGAUAAGUAGUGUGAAUUGCAGAAUUCAGUGAAUCAUCGAAUCUUUGAACGCACAUUGCGCCCUUUGGUAUUCCAAAGGGCAUGCCUGUUCGAGCGUCAUUUGUACCCUCAAGCUUUGCUUGGUGUUGGGCGUCUUGUCUCUAGCUUUGCUGGAGACUCGCCUUAAAGUAAUUGGCAGCCGGCCUACUGGUUUCGGAGCGCAGCACAAGUCGCACUCUCUAUCAGCAAAGGUCUAGCAUCCAUUAAGCCUUUUUUCAACUUUUGACCUCGGAUCAGGUAGGGAUACCCGCUGAACUUAAGCAUAUCAAUAAGCGGAGGAAAAG
This 573-nucleotide ribosomal RNA is filed under the name Alternaria sp. L2745. Its description in RNAcentral is "eukaryotic LSU rRNA". The stretch from base 196 to 349 matches the Rfam family "5.8S ribosomal RNA". Lineage: Eukaryota; Fungi; Ascomycota; Dothideomycetes; Pleosporales; Pleosporaceae. The record is from RNAcentral.